RNAcentral lists this ribosomal RNA (468 nucleotides) under uncultured bacterium. RNAcentral describes it as "partial 16S ribosomal RNA". It matches the Rfam family "Bacterial small subunit ribosomal RNA", at positions 28 to 507 of the family's 1533-position model. The record is from RNAcentral.
GACGAACGCUGGCGGCGUGCUUAACACAUGCAAGUCGAACGGAAAGGCCCUGCCUUUGUGGGGUGCUCGAGUGGCGAACGGGUGAGUAACACGUGAGUAACCUGUCCCUGACUUUGGGAUAACCUCAGGAAACUGGGGCUAAUACCGGAUAGGAGCUCCUGCUGCAUGGUGGGGGUUGGAAAGUUUCGGCGGUUGGGGAUGGACUCGCGGCUUAUCAGCUUGUUGGUGGGGUAGUGGCUUACCAAGGCCUUGCCGGGUAGCCGGCCUGGGAGGGUGACCGGCCCCGUUGGGACUGGGAUACGGCCCAGACUCCUACGGGAGGCAGCAGUGGGGAAUAUUGCACAAUGGGCGGAAGCCUGAUGCAGCAACGCCGCGUGCGGGAUGACGGCCUUCGGUUUGUAAACCGCUUUCGCCUGUGACGAAGCGUGAGUGACGGUAAUGGGUAAAGAAGCACCGGCUAACUACGUG